Molecule: transfer RNA, 76 nt
Filed under: Shewanella putrefaciens
Lineage: Bacteria; Pseudomonadati; Pseudomonadota; Gammaproteobacteria; Alteromonadales; Shewanellaceae
Description: tRNA-Gly
Source: RNAcentral
AAUGUUUCAAUGUCUACAAGGUUAGUACGUUUACCGAAAAGUUUGAUAAAACGUUUUAAACGCCCACAAAGGUAAU